RNAcentral lists this ribosomal RNA (274 nucleotides) under uncultured bacterium. RNAcentral's name for it is "partial 16S ribosomal RNA". It matches the Rfam family "Bacterial small subunit ribosomal RNA", at positions 523 to 796 of the family's 1533-position model. The record is from RNAcentral.
AUACGGAGGGUGCAAGCGUUGUCCGGAUUUAUUGGGUUUAAAGGGUGCGCAGGCGGUGCGUUAAGUCAGUGGUGAAAUCUUCCGGCCCAACCGGGAAACUGCCAUUGAUACUGGCGCACUUGAGUACGGACGAGGUAGGCGGAAUUUAUGGUGUAGCGGUGAAAUGCAUAGAUACCAUAAAGAACACCGAUAGCGAAGGCAGCUUACCAGACCGUAACUGACGCUCAGGCACGAAAGCGUGGGGAGCAAACAGGAUUAGAAACCCUAGUAGUCC